This is a long non-coding RNA of Passer domesticus (house sparrow), 1812 nucleotides long. RefSeq lists it as uncharacterized. NCBI's taxonomy places the organism in Eukaryota, Metazoa, Chordata, Aves, Passeriformes, Passeridae. The record is from RefSeq and is a predicted model, not a curated record. The transcript has 3 exons.
AGUGGCUGAUGCCUUGAGAGCCACCCUGGCCAUGGUUAAGCAGCUCCUGCUUGCAGCUGUGUCCCUCAUGAUGUGCCAAAUCACCGUGGCUGGAUGAGGGUAGAACACAGUAUUUACACUAAUUUUGCAUUCUGGAAUAAAAUACUUCAGUGGGAAGGGAGCUAAAAUGACCAUCUGGUCCAUGAAGGCAGGGCCUUGAAGUGCAGCAAGGCAGGCCAGAGUUAAACCCCAGAGCAAUGGCAAUCAAAGUGUGACGUUAUUUGGAUGUCUGUGGCUUGUCCAUCAAUCUGUGCCUCAUCAACAUGAACCCAGCAGUGGGAAAAAGGCAAAAACUGGGGGAAAACCAGGCAAAAUUUAGGGGAAGAGAGAGAAAUGUUUCAAACAGCCCAGCUAGGGGAGAGUCUAGCUACAGACAGGGCUUUUGGCUGUAGCAUUUUUGCCCUUAUCCAGGGUGAAUGGUCCAGCCCCUUCCUUGUUCUGCUGUGCUGCGGACACCUGGAUUGUCCUUUCCCACGGUCAGUGACAUCCCUGCUCUGAGGUCAGUGACAGAAUGGUAUGAUGGGUCAAAGGCACCUUUGAAGAUCAGUAAAGUUCUGUGAAUUUUAACUUUCUACCUAAGCCAAGAUUAGUGAGAUGAAUCACCUAUCAGCUGCUCUCUCCUCAGAGUGCAGUCAUCCCUAAUCAUCCCAACUUACAAAAAAAAAGCCAGGUAUGAUGUUUUGUUGUAGUGACAAGGCAGCUUUCCAUUUCAAGCACCUGAAAAACACACAAAAAGAGCUGAAUUCAGAAACCAAGCAGCAUGAGGUCACCCUCAGCAGCCUCCAGCAGACCUGUUUUAUUUAUUCCACUGGAGUGGCAACAAACACAAACUCCCCCUGUGCUGGAGGUGGGCAGCCCGCGGGUCAGGCUUAGCACAAAAGCCCAAUUUUAGGCAAAGCUCUGUGAGUUUGGUGCCUUGGCUUUGCUGUUGUAAACCAUCUGCUCAGCUUCACUCCCAAACACCGGUGCUGGGAAUCAAUCACGGGGUUGCUUUUGGUUGAUCCUUGUUUUGCUCGACUUCUCAGCUUUUAAGACUUCACGGCCCCGGGCUCAGAAGUGCGUGCCAAGAACUGCAUCACAUCGAUAGCAACAAAACCCUGGCAAAUUCGAGCUGGCCCUCGAAAUCCAUUAGUGCCCUCGGAAAUUGGGGGGCUGGAAGCGUGGCAGUGGAAAAGUCCAUCUUUUGGGACUCAGCUUUCCAGCCCCACAUCCAGGAUUUCCUUGGGGAAGGACUGGUCCAGCCCAAGCAUUUCAGGGGAGCCUUGCAAGGUCUGUAUUGGGAACCCAGCCCACUGCAUCAUGUGAAGGAGGUGAUAUCUGUGUGUUCCAAAAUCCCUGUUUGUGACACGCGUCAGGCCUUGGAGGACAUUACCCCCUCACUCCCCUUGAUGCCUCAGGAUUUUAGCUUUUAUUUUUUCAUCUAUUUGUAAUCCUGCAGUUCUUCAGUGUGUAACUCUAAACUCCAUGUACAGUGUGAGCUGCUGCUUUCCCAUUUUGGGCAGACACAACAAUUCCUCUCCAGACCUGGCAGUCAAGGACACCUCACUGCCUCAGGCCUGAGAGAUGGAAACAAAAGUGAGUUGGGGGCAGCAAACCUGGGGUAAAUGACUUCAUUAGCUGAAGCUGUAAUUGGAAGAUGAACCCCCAACAUGCAAAUGGACCAAACUUAUAGAAGUGUCAAAACCUGUGACCCCUUGUCCAUUUUGGGUCUUUAUAUUCUCUAAAUGUACCUGAAGGCCCUUCAAUAAAUAGAACUGCUUUUUACUCCCUUAA